GCAUACUUACUCACAGCAAUUAAUGAAUCCAAUCCAGGUUUAUUCAAAUGGUAUUAGAUCACAAUAAUCAAUAUGUCCAGACAAUGCUAAUUAUUUUGAUCUAUAUCAACCUACAUCCCAAAAUUCAUAUUUAAAACUUAUUUCAUACUUAAACUAAACCGCUGCACUUGAUGGAUAUCACAAAACAGUCCAACUAAACCAAACAGAUUUUUGCUUCGAGUUAUACUUAAACAAGAUCUGUUUAACAGCUAUACUACAUGAACUUUCCCAGUGCUUGGUUGUUUUUUGAUACAUCAACAUACACAUAAUAAUUCAUAUCAUCAAGUCAACACAGUUGUAAUUCACAGUUUAUCAGCCUAAAUCUUAAUUACAAAAUUAUUUAGCGAAAUGAGAGCCAAUACAUCUCAGCCUAUAGAAGCAGGAUCACCAAACAAUCAUUCCAUUCCAUGUUCUGAGCUCAAACUUACAGCAGAAGUACGAAUAUGUACCUUGAUAAACUAUAAACAUGGGUGAAAAUGAAGAUCAGCAACUACAGGUGCAACAACAGUUUCAAACAAUCAACAUACCAUAGCAAUAAGAACUCAGCAGCCUCUGGAUGUGAAAAUUGGUGCAGGAAGUUUUUGAAAACACAGUAGAUAACCAAGAUGCACCCAAAGAACUAGAAACAAGCGGAAAAUGCUCCAAAUUAAUAUGCAAACAAAUUCCAAACCAAGCCACAAGCAGAAAGGUAAAGAUAAAACCUUACAAUUGCUUGAAAAACCAAUGAAACUGUAAUUUUUUGUUGUUUUCUUCUUGGUAUAUACCUUUUUUGUAUUUUUUUUUAUUUUAAUGCUAGAACAUAACUGAAAUUGAAAAAUGGAAUUAACAUCUGAUUUGAUCUUAGUUAGUUUUUG
This 893-nucleotide long non-coding RNA is filed under the name Nicotiana benthamiana. RNAcentral describes it as "long non-coding RNA (NBEN_LNC022730)". Lineage: Eukaryota; Viridiplantae; Streptophyta; Magnoliopsida; Solanales; Solanaceae. The record is from RNAcentral.